Molecule: ribosomal RNA, 465 nt
Filed under: Vreelandella stevensii
Lineage: Bacteria; Pseudomonadati; Pseudomonadota; Gammaproteobacteria; Oceanospirillales; Halomonadaceae
Description: partial 16S ribosomal RNA
Rfam family: Bacterial small subunit ribosomal RNA
Source: RNAcentral
CCUACGGGUGGCUGCAGUGGGGAAUAUUGGACAAUGGGGGGAACCCUGAUCCAGCCAUGCCGCGUGUGUGAAGAAGGCCCUCGGGUUGUAAAGCACUUUCAGUGAGGAAGAACGCCUGGUGGUUAAUACCCAUCAGGAAAGACAUCACUCACAGAAGAAGCACCGGCUAACUCCGUGCCAGCAGCCGCGGUAAUACGGAGGGUGCGAGCGUUAAUCGGAAUUACUGGGCGUAAAGCGCGCGUAGGUGGCUUGAUAAGCCGGUUGUGAAAGCCCCGGGCUCAACCUGGGAACGGCAUCCGGAACUGUCAAGCUAGAGUGCAGGAGAGGAAGGUAGAAUUCCCGGUGUAGCGGUGAAAUGCGUACAGAUCGGGAGGAAUACCAGUGGCGAAGGCGGCCUUCUGGACUGACACUGACACUGAGGUGCGAAAGCGUGGGUAGCAAACAGGAUUAGAUACCCCGGUAGUC